Choloepus didactylus (southern two-toed sloth) is the source of this 620-nucleotide long non-coding RNA. RefSeq lists it as uncharacterized. The record is from RefSeq and is a predicted model, not a curated record. NCBI's taxonomy places the organism in Eukaryota, Metazoa, Chordata, Mammalia, Pilosa, Megalonychidae. The transcript is spliced from 3 exons.
CACAGUGAAAGUUUUCUCAGGUCAUCUGCGGGAAAAACCCAGGCAAACCCAGGGUCCCUCACGCACGACAGGAACACAGAGAGGGAGAGAGCAAUGCGAAGAACCUGGCAUCUCAGAACAGAACUCCAGAGCCUGAAGGGGAAUGGAAGAGGGGGCCAUGACGGCCCAAAAUGACUUCUCAGGCGGCACCAUUUCCUGAGGCUUUAUCCUGCUUAUUUCCAAUUGUGCAAGAGCUGAGUGUGGAGGCCUCACCUGAAGGAAGAAUAUUUAAACAUGGACUUGGCCAUAAAAUGACGUUGUAUCCAGGGGCUUCCUGAAUCACACAAGGACACUCAUGAAUCUGAAGACUAAAAGAAGCUGUACUUUUCCUCAAACGGAAGAAUCCUAAAACCACUCAGUCUGGAAGUAUCACUGAAACUGAGCCAGAAAGGAAUCUCCAGUCAGAUUUCCCAAGGAGAACCAGGACCUGUCUAAACCAUGAUGAGCUUCAGUUACACUAGAGUAAAGGCAAAAGAAGCCUCCAGACAGACAAUUCCAGCCCCCGAUACUGGCAUGGCCUUAGGGGACUCAUGUCCCGUCUCUGAGCCCCAGUUUUCUCACAUAAGACAGCUUUCAGGAUU